UACAGAGGGUGCAAGCGUUGUUCGGAAUUAUUGGGCGUAAAGCGCGUGUAGGCGGCUUGGCAAGUCGGGUGUGAAAGCCCUCAGCUCAACUGAGGAAGUGCGCCCGAAACUGCUUUGCUUGAGUGCUGGAGAGGGUCGCGGAAUUCCCCAAGUAGAGGUGAAAUUCGUAGAUAUGGGGAGGAACACCGGUGGCGAAGGCGGCGACCUGGACAGUAACUGACGCUGAGACGCGAAAGCCAGGGGAGCGAACGGG
This 253-nucleotide ribosomal RNA is filed under the name uncultured bacterium. RNAcentral's name for it is "partial 16S ribosomal RNA". It matches the Rfam family "Bacterial small subunit ribosomal RNA", at positions 524 to 776 of the family's 1533-position model. The record is from RNAcentral.